This 488-nucleotide ribosomal RNA is filed under the name Pseudoglauia terrea. RNAcentral's name for it is "partial 16S ribosomal RNA". It matches the Rfam family "Bacterial large subunit ribosomal RNA", at positions 1847 to 2597 of the family's 2925-position model. The record is from RNAcentral. Lineage: Eukaryota; Metazoa; Arthropoda; Insecta; Orthoptera; Pamphagidae.
AAGGUCUGACCUGCUCACUGGACUUGUUUUGAAGAGCCGCGGUAUUUUGACCGUGCAAAGGUAGCAUAAUCAUUAGUCUCUUAAUUAGAGGCUGGAAUGAAUGGUUUGACGAGGAAUUGACUGUCUCUAUUUAAUGUCUAGAAUUUAACUUUUGAGUUAAAAGGCUCAAAUUUUUCUUUAGGACGAGAAGACCCUAUAGAGCUUAAUAUAUUAUUUUUAUAUAGUUUUUGGUUUGUUUUUCUAUAUUUAAUAUAAAAUAUUUUGUUGGGGUGACAUGAAGGAUAAAUAAACCCUUCAUUAUAAAAUCAUUGAUUUAUGUUAUUUUGAUCCAUAAUUUAUGAUCAUAAGAUUAAGUUACCUUAGGGAUAACAGCGUAAUUGUUUUGGAGAGCUCAAAUCGAUAAAGCAGAUUGCGACCUCGAUGUUGGAUUAAGAAAAAUGCUAGGUGCAGAGGCUUAGUGAUUAGGUCUGUUCGACCUUUAAAUUCUA